AUCUGUCUAGGACCAGUGCCCCUGGGAGCACAUGCCUGGCCGUCUGCUGGGAGCCGCUGGGCCAGCCCUGGGUAAUUUCUGUGGGACAUGCAGACCACGGCGGGCGCACCCUGUAGGUAGUCAGUAAUGGCUCACGGAUGACGGGUGUGAGCUGGAGCAGCAGUGGGCAGGGGCAGCUCACCUCUUUGCAGGAGGCGGGUGGGGCGGCCGCUCCGGGUGGCUGAAACCGAUGGGGCAGGGCUGUCUUGACCACAGCUCGGGCCCAGGCUGCUCAUCAUCACUCCCUUUGCCCACCUGGAUGGGGCUGCUCAUGCAUGGCCACUACGAACUGCACUCUGCAUGUGUGUAUGUGUGUGUAUGUGUGUAUGUGCAUGUGUGUAUGUGUGUAUGUGCAUGCGUGUGCGUGUAUGUGUGUAUGCGUGUGUGUGUGUGUGUGUGUGUGUGUGUGUGGUGGCCUGCGCUCUGUACACACAACCGCCCAGCAGAGAGAAAGAAGAGCACGGGAUGGGAGAAUCUCCUUUCUUUCCUCUGACGCUGUCAAGCCUUGUGGGUAAAUCUGGAAGACGUGGUUGGUGGACAGUUAAGAUUCCAUUAAAAAUGGGAAAGAGCCCCUGCAUGUUGCCUUUAGGCCGUGAUGCUCACAGCUGGAUGAGUGUCUCGCCUGGCUGGUGCUUGCUUCCUUUGAACUCCUUUGCGAAGCAGGCUGGUGGUCUCCCGUGUGGGGAUCAGACAUGGCAUUGGGUCCUGGCUGCACCCCACAGCUGGACCCCGAGCUCUUGUGAGUCUGGGCAGCGUCACCCUUCUGUUCUCCUGGAGUGGAAACGGGAGAUGGGUGGAUAUGUUGCAGAAAAGCAGGAUGACGGCAAGCCCCGAGGGCCCCAGCCUGGGUUUCCUGCACAGGCAAAGCUACUUGUGGGGGCUUGAGUGAAGAAGCCACAGUAUAUUACAACUCAGGAAAAAAUCCACAUUGUCUGUCCUGAGCAGCCUCAUGGGAGGUGAAUUAGAGAAAACAAAAGAGAGCAAGAGAGAAGACAGUGGGUGAAGUCCUGGUUCCAGACUCCCCUUUUUGCCGGGAUAUGAUGGAUCUGUCAGCUGGUGCCUAGAGUCCUAGAGAGCUAGAGAUGGAGGGAAAUUCAGAUCAUCUAAACCCUUCAGCCCUUCACUGGACAGAAGAGGAAACUGAGGCUCCAUCUGCAUGACGUUCCCAGAGUCACGGCACAAAUUCAUGGAAGAAGCAGCAGGAAACUCAGUUCUCCAGUCUGGGUCCAAUGUGUGUUUUAGAAAUAUCUCCACAGGGUUAAUGACUCAAUUUUUCAUGCAUGAUUGCUAGUAAUGACAAUCAUGUUAUGUUUGUUUCUGUAGCUUUGGAAAUCACUCCUUCCACUUGAGUUUCAGGUCCCAACUGUCCACACCUGCAGGAGUGAGGUUUUGCUGAGACUGAUAAGGCACUCACAUUUUGUGGGAGUUGAAUUGUCUCUGUAGCCUAGAAUCUAGAUUUUUUUCCCUCCUCUGCUCUCAGUGAACGGAGAAUUCCAUCUCGGUACAAUCUGUGAACCAUUCUGCAGUAAGAUUGUCAUCGUCUCAUUCAUACUACCUGGUCGGUAACACAAAGGGCUGUAAUUGAUGUGGUUCAGAGACUCACAUCCAAGCAAUAAAAAUGAAUCCCUUAUGGUGGUCUGCAGCAACGCAAAU
This 1692-nucleotide long non-coding RNA is filed under the name Homo sapiens (human). Its description in RNAcentral is "non-protein coding lnc-ASB13-3:4". Lineage: Eukaryota; Metazoa; Chordata; Mammalia; Primates; Hominidae. The record is from RNAcentral.